CUACUUCAUCCUGAAAUCUAACAUAGAAACACUUGUCAAAAGGAGCAGUUUUGUAAAACCUUAACAAGGACUACAGAGAAAGAAAGUACAUCACUAGAUUUAGUUUUUAUCCAUUGUUAUGGUCAUAAAUAGCAGCAAAAUUGAAUUUCUAAGGCACCAGGAGAAUGAGGAGAAGCUUGUGGCUGACUUGAAUCCCUCAGAUGAUUUUGUUUUAUGAAGGAUGGGAUGAAAAUGUCAGAGUACACGGAAAACAUCUUAGUUCUUCCCAUCUCCAGUGGGAUCAUUCAAAUCCUGCCCCAGGUCCUGUUGAGCUAGUGCUGAUGCCCCAGGAAGAGGAGCAAAGAAGCAACAUGCUAUCAGCCUUGGGAAACAAAGAAAUACAAGAUUGCUCGAAAUCUUCAAUCUCUGAUAUUGUAUUAAUGAAGGCUCAUUCCCAAGUGCCGGAAAAGCCUUCCACGAUUCAAGAUGAAUUGCAAGAAUGUGUUGUUUGGGGCAAUUAUGAAGACAGAGAGGAAAUGUUAUGCAAACUCCUAGGUUUCAGCUGUUUCCAAGGCCAGGCCUGACUAGCC
This 569-nucleotide long non-coding RNA is filed under the name Sarcophilus harrisii (Tasmanian devil). RNAcentral describes it as "lncRNA (ENSSHAG00000030143.1)". The record is from RNAcentral. Lineage: Eukaryota; Metazoa; Chordata; Mammalia; Dasyuromorphia; Dasyuridae.